Molecule: ribosomal RNA, 501 nt
Filed under: uncultured bacterium
Lineage: Bacteria
Description: partial 16S ribosomal RNA
Rfam family: Bacterial small subunit ribosomal RNA
Source: RNAcentral
AUUGAACGCUGGCGGCAGGCUUAACACAUGCAAGUCGAGCGGGGGAAGGUAGCUUGCUACCGGACCUAGCGGCGGACGGGUGAGUAAUGCUUAGGAAUCUGCCUAUUAGUGGGGGACAACAUCUCGAAAGGGAUGCUAAUACCGCAUACGUCCUACGGGAGAAAGCAGGGGAUCUUCGGACCUUGCGCUAAUAGAUGAGCCUAAGUCGGAUUAGCUAGUUGGUGGGGUAAGGGCCUACCAAGGCGACGAUCUGUAGCGGGUCUGAGAGGAUGAUCCGCCACACUGGGACUGAGACACGGCCCAGACUCCUACGGGAGGCAGCAGUGGGGAAUAUUGGACAAUGGGGGGAACCCUGAUCCAGCCAUGCCGCGUGUGUGAAGAAGGCCUUAUGGUUGUAAAGCACUUUAAGCGAGGAGGAGGCUACUCUAGUUAAUACCUAGGGAUAGUAGACGUCACUCGCAGAAUAAGCACCGGCUAACUCUGUGCCAGCCGCCGCCGUAA